UUUUUUUUUUAAAUUUUUAUUUAGUCACAACUUGUCGUUGCUAACUGAUUAAAGUAUAGUAUGAAAAGUCGAAUGUUGAUGUUGAAUUCAACAGGCCAUAACAUCAACUUCUCUAUCUGAACAGUGGGAUUUAUUGAUUUACAUUUGCAAAAACGGGCUAAAGAAUGUCCGCAAGACCGCAACUAACAUAGCAAUAUUACAUCCGCAAGCCCGCAACUAACAUAAGUAUGUCAUGCAAUCCUUGUCUACUUGAAACUUGUACAGUAGUUUCCUUAGCUUCAUUAUAAAGAAGCUAUAAACUGCAUAUGUAGAGGUUCUUCAAACUCUUGAGUACAGAAGCAAUGUAACUAUUAUAACCUGGAUAUUUUUAGCAUUUGUCAUUUGGAAGCAACAUUGUUCAUGUUGAUAUGGGCCGGACUCUUUGGCCCAUAAAACUUCAAGAAGGAAUUUUAUUGCUAAAGUCGGUAUUUUUUACCCUCGCCGCCGGUAAAGCGUGACUCAAAAGUCACUGUUAUUGUUUUAUUGUUUCCUUUUCGUAAUUUUCCUUUUUUUUUUUGUUGUUGAUAAUAUUGUUAAAGUCGGUUUUGGGGUUUUUCCUUAUUAGAAACAUAUUUUUAAUAGGAAAAGGGUGUUGAAUUUUUGCUAUAUAAACGUGACCUUGGUGUUGUUUGAGCUCACAACUUUCUUUAAUUGAAUACAAAAUCAAAGAGCUUUUCAACUUUUAAACAGAGAUCGAUUAGGGUAUAGAUUAUGGCUGCGAAUCCUGGCCGUGGAGACCGUGGGAGAGGUGGUAGGGGAGUGGAUGACAGACAAGUUGGUCUUCAAGACGACCAAAGGGGUCGAGCCCAUCGCGAAUUUCGAAGAUAUGGGUAUCAAAGAGAAUGUUCUUCGUGGUUUAUACGAGUACGGUUACGAGAAGCCCUCCGCCAUUCAGCAGAGGGCGAUCAUGCCGAUUCUCCAAGGGAGAGAUGUCAUUGCUCAAGCUCAGUCCGGUACGGGAAAGACCUCUAUGAUUGCUCUCUCUGUCUGCCAAGUCGUUGACACUUCGUCUAGAGAGGUUCAGGCCUUGAUAUUAUCCCCAACAAGAGAGCUGGCUUCACAAACAGAGAUGACGAUACAAGCUAUUGGAUCACACGGCAAUGUCCAGGCACAUGCAUGCAUUGGUGGGAAGAGCGUUGGAGAAGACAUCAGGAAGCUGGAGCAUGGUGUCCAUGUUGUGUCCGGAACACCUGGUCGUGUCUGUGACAUGAUAAAGAGGAGAAGUCUACGCACCAGAGCUAUUAAACUUCUGAUUCUUGAUGAAUCAGAUGAAAUGCUAAGCAGAGGAUUCAAGGACCAAAUCUAUGAUGUUUACAGAUAUCUUCCACCCGAUAUUCAGGUUUGCUUGGUUUCUGCAACUCUACCUCACGAGAUUUUGGAGAUGACAACCAAGUUUAUGACGGAUCCGGUGAAGAUACUUGUGAAGCGUGAUGAGUUGGCUCUUGAGGGAAUAAAAAACUUUUUUAUUUCUGUUGAGAAAGAGGAGUGGAAGUUUGAGACACUAUGUGAUCUUUAUGACACACUUACCAUCACUCAAGCUGUUAUCUUCUGCAACACAAAACGAAAAGUGGACUUUCUUAGUGAGAAAAUGAGGAGCAGCAACUUCACUGUCUCAUCAAUGCAUGGGGACAUGCCUCAGAAGGAGAGAGACGAGAUCAUGAAUCAGUUUCGGACAGGUGAGAGUCGCGUUUUGAUCACAACAGAUGUAUUUGCACGCGGGAUUGAUGUUCAUCAAGUUUCUCUUGUCAUCAAUUAUGAUCUCCCAACAACCGUGAGCUCUACAUCCAUCGUAUUGGACGGUCUGGUCGUUUCGGACGUAAGGGUGUUGCAAUCAACUUUGUUAAAAACGACGAUAUCAAGAUUCUCCGGGACAUUGAGCAGUACUACAGUACUCAGAUUGACGAGAUGCCAAUGAAUGUAGCUGAUCUUAUCUAAAACACUUCUGUCUUCUCUGAAUGUAAUUUAGAAAAAAUAAAAUAAAACCAAAGUGAUAUUCCUUACAUCGGUGAAUGAAUGGUUCAAUGUUCACAUAAGCAAGAUUCAUAUCCAUCAAAUAGUAGUAGCAAGAACAUGCACUAGUUUAUAUAGGCCACUGGUUGUAGACGCAAUGUCCAACCACCCUAGUAUCCCACAAAUAUCUCCUUCUUGGCUUUUCUCAAUCGCAAUUUCCGCACACCGAAUUAUCGUCUCUUGAUGGUUGUUAACAAACACAUACUCUUCCCACAAAAGUACCAUUUUUCCACCAUAAUCGCCAAUUUAAGACGAUUAGAACGUGAUAAAGUGCUAGGUAAUCUUUCCAAACCCUUCAAAGUUGUCCAUGAUCUUUCUUUGGAGUCAUACCAAUCGAUCCUCCUUUUAUUAUAACGGUAGAAAACAUUCUCUAUCACAAAAUGAUAUAGAUAAGGAAGAUUCAAUCCAUGAUUCAUUAUCGCCAAGUCUGCCUUUCGCCAUCUACCUUUAUGCAGCUUGUAAGUCACAUUCUUCGCCUCAAACCUCACAUAGACAGUUCUCUCAUACUCUACGAUUUUGUACUCUGAGCCUCCAUAUAUCUCCUCGCUA
This is an RNA transcript of Arabidopsis lyrata subsp. lyrata, 2598 nucleotides long. It is a transcript of the gene named DEAD-box ATP-dependent RNA helicase 2, with no coding region annotated. Lineage: Eukaryota; Viridiplantae; Streptophyta; Magnoliopsida; Brassicales; Brassicaceae. The record is from RefSeq and is a predicted model, not a curated record. The transcript is spliced from 2 exons.